Molecule: long non-coding RNA, 1207 nt
Filed under: Durio zibethinus
Lineage: Eukaryota; Viridiplantae; Streptophyta; Magnoliopsida; Malvales; Malvaceae
Description: long non-coding RNA (DZIB_LNC000483)
Source: RNAcentral
UCGUAAGUUACUCGGAUUCGACUCGAUUAAAAUUCAAAUUCGAUUCGAUAAUUGUCGAGUCGAGCUCGAGCUCGAGUAGCUCGACUUAUCGAACGAGUCAAAUUCGAGUAUAUUAAUACCCGACUCGAAUAGCUCACGAGCCUAAUCGAGCUUUUCUAUUAUAUAUUUAUUUUUAUUAUUUUAUUUAUAAAAUUACUUUUUUACCCUUAACUUAAAAAACCCUAAAAUUUUAUUUUCUUUCUUUCCUUCUUUUCUUUCAGUCUUUCUCCACGUCUCUCUCACUCACUAGAAGACCCUUGCGGCGCCUUUUCUUCUCGCGUCCCACUCCAUUGUCUUUCAAGCUAGCUUAGACCAAAACCAACUCAAAUCCAAGACAAAUCAAAGUUGGAGCAAGCUGCUGCGUGCUUCCCUUUUACACAGUAAGUGCUUUUCUGCGUGUUGCCAUUCUUAUGUUUGAUUUGUCCUAUAGUUAUAGUUUUACAGAGUUAUCUUGUGCUGCCUUUUUGUUUAUCAAAAUAUUCUAUUAGAGCCUUUCCAAAUAUCUUCAUGAAAAUUUGGGACUUCAUAUAUGAGAUUUCCACUAGGGCAGGGCUAUGAGAGAGAAGGGACCUUCCCGGCGUUGAUGGGACCAGUACUGGUGGGUUCAUCAGGUACCGCUUCAUCAUAUCGAAUGCUCUCUAUAAAAAAGCCCUUUCUCCUCUCUCUAAAAGGUAAGCUCGUUCCACCCCUUCGACGAAUUCUUUCGCAGCAGCUUGAACGGAACCCGGUCCCUCAACGUGAACGAGAGAAAAACAAACCCCAUUACUCGAUCAGGGAAUCUAAGCCACUGCUCUAUUCCCGACUCGAAAUCCAUAAAAGACUUUAAAAGGGAACUGCUCUCUUUAUCUCAGCUGCUUUCCCUACUACGGUAACUGAUAAAAGUAUGGGGGACUUUUUUUCUUAAUCUUAAAAAAAGUAUGGGAUAUUUUUCCAUGACAUACUUUUUGAGGGCCAUUUUUUUAUUAAAUGUUUUUAUGUUAAGCUUACAAUUCUCGCUAAAAAGUGGUUUAAAUAAGAAUGCCUAAAUUAAAUACCCUUAUGAAUAUUGUGGGGAUGCAGAUCGAGAAUAACAAUGAAAGGGGGCAAGGUGUUAUAGCUAUUUGUUAGUAUUGAUCUUCUCAAUUCUGAUUUGUUUGUCAAACAUUAUCACAUUAUACUUUUAUUUUUG